GAGCGCAGCAUCAAAACAAAUCACAUGAUUCCUAGUCAACACCUCGGUCUGCUGACAUAAGUGGACACAAGUUUAAGAAACGAGAAACGCAGAUCGGUUGAAGUCGAGUCAAGAAAAUACACUUUGGUAAUCCCAACGUGAAAUUAAAAAAAAAA
This is a long non-coding RNA of Pomacea canaliculata, 155 nucleotides long. RefSeq lists it as uncharacterized. The transcript is spliced from 2 exons. The record is from RefSeq and is a predicted model, not a curated record. NCBI's taxonomy places the organism in Eukaryota, Metazoa, Mollusca, Gastropoda, Architaenioglossa, Ampullariidae.